GACGAACGCUGGCGGCGUGCUUAACACAUGCAAGUCGAACGGAAAGGCCCUGCUUGCGUGGUACUCUCGUGUGGCGAGCGGGAGUGACACACGGGAGUAACCUGCCCUUGUCUUUGGGAUACCUUCAGGAAACUGGGGCAAAUACCGGAUAGGACCUCCUGCUGCAUAGUGGGGGAUGGAAAGUUUGGGCGGUUGGGGAUGGACUCGCGGCUUAUCAGCUUGUUGGGGGGGUAUGGGCUUACCAAGGCUUUGAUGGGUAGCCGGCCUGGGAGGGUGACCGGCCACAUUGGGACGGGGAUAGGGCCCGGACUCCUAGGGGGGGCAGAGGGGGGGAAUAUUGCAAAAUGGGCGGAAGCCGGAGGCAGCAACGCCGCGUGCGGGAGGACGGCCUUCGGUUUGUAACCCGUUUCCGCCUGUAACGAAGCGUUUGUGACGGUAAUUAGUAAAGAAGCACCGGCUAACUACGUG
RNAcentral lists this ribosomal RNA (468 nucleotides) under uncultured bacterium. RNAcentral describes it as "partial 16S ribosomal RNA". It matches the Rfam family "Bacterial small subunit ribosomal RNA", at positions 28 to 507 of the family's 1533-position model. The record is from RNAcentral.